Small nuclear RNA from Chionomys nivalis (European snow vole), 104 nucleotides. The record is from RefSeq and is a predicted model, not a curated record. NCBI's taxonomy places the organism in Eukaryota, Metazoa, Chordata, Mammalia, Rodentia, Cricetidae.
UUGCUGCAGCAGCGGAUAUUCUAAAGACUGGAACGACAUGGAGAAGAUUAGCAUGGCUCCUCUGCAAGGGUGACAUAGACAAUCGUGAAGCGCCCCAUAUUUUU